Long non-coding RNA from Equus caballus (horse), 6286 nucleotides. Lineage: Eukaryota; Metazoa; Chordata; Mammalia; Perissodactyla; Equidae. The record is from Ensembl.
GAAAACUUAAAUGAAAGACAGCAUCACAGAGCUUCUCUCAAGAGCAGGCAGAGGAAGAGGCUGGAGCUGGUAGCAGAAGGGGCUCCACGGUGACUGUGACCAAACAGACCACAGCACUGCUGAGGGGGUGGCCAGGGGAAGGGCCCACCGCCCACCAGGAGGUCUGCCUGCGGCUCUGCUCCUCCCUGGCACACAUCAUGGACUCCCAUUAUACAUGGAACACGUGCCUGGUGGGGAUCGAUGCCACCAUGGGGCCUGGGAUUAUUUGCAUCUUUGCUGGAAAGAGCCUUCACACCAACAUGAAACUUCAAGGACGCUAGAACGUCAGCGCCUGCCUGAGCGCCCCCAUCCUUCAGUGUGUCUGUGGACAGGGCUUGCGGUUCUAUGAAGAUAUGGCAGAAAGUAUUUUGGAGGAGAAAAGCAAUCCAGGUAAAGCCACAGUCCUGAGGGACCUGCCUUUUCCCAACCAAUUCGUUUUUUCCACCCUCAAAGUGUCAUUGUAAAGUUCCAACUUGCUUCAUUUAGCGUUGGUUUUUCAGUGAGGAGGUGACCACGGUAAAAGUGAGGCAUCACUAGAAUCCACCCAGCCAAAGCUUACAGCGGAAAAUGGGUCACAGGGUGACCACAGUGAGUCAUUCUGGAUGGGGUACAACCCACACACCCCCACCACCAGCUGCCUGGCUCCUCUGGGAAUUUCCAGUGGAAAAUCUCCACUUCUGAUCCAAGAAGGAGGGGAUGGCCUGUCCCAGUGGGAACACUAAGGAAAUCGAUGCAACUCAAUUCACUGUAAAAUGUGUGUCUAUUGAGCUUUUGUGAAUGCACAUUUGCCAAACCCUGUGCUUUCUCUCACAGCGCUGCAGAGGCCACAGAAACGGAUGGUAUCAGGAAAAGUUUUCAGGCAGGAGUCAUGUUCAGGUCUUGAAAGGUGGUAGAUAUUUGGAUAGAUAAAGAUGGUGGGAAAGAUAUUUCAAACACUGAGAAGAACAUAAGGGAAAUCACGGAGGUGGGACCUCAUGCACCACCCUGGGGAAUGGAGAGCAUCUCCUUUGAUGGGAAAAGUUCCAGCACCGGCCACGUCACCAACUCUCAGAGUCAGGCUGCUGUGGGGUGCAGAGCUCACUCCUCAUGUUCUCCAUUUAUGCCAGUGCUUUCCCUCCUUCCUGACUUUCUGAGUCCUGUCCUGGUUCCACCAUAAUCCCAGAGUCCCCAGGCUCAGUCUCAGAGCUGUGCUUGACCUGCCCUCUCCCUUGACCCACACAACUCUCCAUCAAUACAGAUGCUGCCUCAGUGGGGACCUCUCAUCACCGGCCCCCGUUCUCCCUUCCCAUAGCGCUGUAGGUCCUCUACAUGAUUCCUGUUUCGGCUGUUGUAAGACACUCUCACAUUUUUUCCAACCCAGGAAGAAUUUCCUUAACUCCCAGCUGUGGCAUCACCUCCUUGUAGUUGGCACAGACUCUGGUUCUGGCAGAAAGGUUCACGGUCAGAGAACUGGGUUUGAAGCUGGGGGGUAGGGGUGAACUCAGACGACUCAGCUCCACAGGCCACAGACAAAUCAAGUCCACCCUGCUUGGUCAACAGGCAUGGUCCUCUGGUCAGGACAGCCCCCCCCCCCCCCCCCCCACCCCCGCCCCUUGAUGCGGGAGCUGAAAUGAGUUCGCUCACUGUUGCACAGCAAGCAAAUCUCUCACACUGGGUGUGGCGGGAGAAAGCAGGACUUUAUUAUUGCACAGCACUGAGCAAGGAGAAGAGGCAGCUAACGCUGAAACCCCAAACUCCCCGAAAAGCUAAAAGGGAGGGUUUUUAUUUGGGGUUUAGGUAGCGGAGGGGGAGCACAUGGCGUCCUCGCCAGAGCCUUCCCACCAGCCUGUGUUUGGCCUUGAUACUCUUGGAGAGACGAGGAGCCCAUGACCCUGCCGGCCAGCAGCUUCCCACCAGCCCAGAGCUCCUUGGGGGAGGUGAUGAUACAGAACCCAGGUGGUGACCUUGGCCGCUGGUCUCCACAUCUCCACGCGACAGUGGGUGCUGGGGCCAGGGAGCAGGGAACCACUGCUCUGUUUUAAGCCCACGUGCCGGGUUCAGUGCAGGGAACCGGCAUCAGGGCGGCAUCACCCUUGCAGGAUCGCGAAGUCCACGGGGCAGCUCCGGCGGGGGAGCCCGGCGGCCUUCCCUCCGCGCCUUCCCGGCGCUCCCGGCCCGCACUUCAAGCGCGAAGGAGGAAACGUAGAUGGAGAACAGGGGGCCUAGGGCGCCAACGCUCCAAGCGCAGGAGCCCCUAGCGGCUGGGCUGUGGCUUCUGUCGUGAGUCAGCUGUGGGAGGAGCGACCACGUGCCCGGCAGCACCCCGGAGCUUCGGCCGUCGGCUCCUCAAGGCCGAGCCCAGGCCCUGGAGACGCACCAGCAGCCGGCCCGGGGGCGCCAGGACCACCGAGAGGCGGGCUGGGGUCCGGCCUGGGACUCGCCCACCACCCAGCUUACGCCCACCGGUGGCCUCCGACCCCAAACACGCCCACGACGAGGCCGUGCCUCGCACCGGAAGAGGAGCCACAGUCUCCUCACCGCAUUCCGGAAGCCCAGGCCUGUGCUGGUCACCGCAGCGGCAGAGGAAGUCCCGCCCCGGAAGUCACGUGGGCCCCAGGGCGGGCUCCAUUAGCCCGGACUGCCCAGUCUUGGGGCAGGAAGUCCUGCCCCCUGGAAGUCACGUGGACUGGGACCGGAAGUCCCGGGAAGCGUGUAGGCCUUGGAGCCUGGGAUUCCAGCUGGUGGGGACGCUGCGGCGGGUGCGAGGGCCCUGCCCGCCCUGCCUGGGUGCGUGUCGGGGAGGCGUCCGGACUCCCUGCUCCGCUUCCCUCCCAGCGUUGGCGGGGGCGGUGAGGCUGAUUUCUCGUCGCUCUGAAGGACGGCGUCGCCGCAGCGCGCUCCCAGCAGCCCAGGCGAGGACGCGCGGCGGCCCGCGGGCGGACGAGGAAGCGUGGUGUGUCCGAGCGGCGGUGUCAUUCAGGCGCGGAAAGGAGGGACGUCCUGGUGCUGCUGCACCGGCAGAGACGCUUCAGACUACGCUCGGUGAGCGUCCAGACGCAGAAAGUCACGGCGUGUGGGGUUCCGUUUACAGGAACUGCCCGGCGUCGGCCCGUCCGUAGAGAUGGAAAGCGGAUCGGUGAUCGCCGGCGGCUGGGCAGGGAGUAUGGCAAAGGGAGCUGCUGCUCACGGGCGCGCGCUUUCCCCUGGGGGGACGAGAAUGUUCUGGAACAAGAUCGAGGUGACAGCUGCGCAACAUUCUGAUUGUACGAGAUGCCAAUGAAUUGGACGCUAACAUGGUUACAAUGAUGAAUUUUAUCUGAAGGAAGGAAGGAGAGAAGGAAGGGGGUGGCCUAGGCUGACUGCCUCCACGGUAAGGGCCUCGAGGCCAGGCCUGCGCCCGCUCUCUGAGGAGCGCUCCCCUGGAAGGCAUCGCGAUGGUCCUGAUAGCUGUGCAGGAGCGAUGGAGAUGUACCUGCUGAGGCCCAGAGCGGGCGACAAGCCACUUCAGGGACAAGCAAGAGGCCAGUGGCUGCCCAGAGUGACCGGCUAGCAGCAGGGCUAAGAUCCGCCCACUGGCAUGCUCUCCGGGCACCCUGCGUGUGCACUGUCCUUUCCUCCCGGGCCUGGUUCGAAGGAGACUGGUCCCAUCCCAUUCAUGCCGUGAAGAGGGAUUGGCAGUGCCUGGCACCUCGUCUACUCUGGAAAGACCUGAAGUUGCACAAGGGCUGAUGUCAGGUCCUGUGGGAUGAGUUACAGCCCCACCGCCCUGUCACAUUUGGCUCUCUGCCUUUGCUUGAAGUUCACAGCCUCCUCCUUUCCGGUCCCCUGAUUCUUGAUGUUUAAUUGCUAAUAGCAAUCCCUCCCCUUCUAUUUAUAACCACUUCAUAAUGCAGACCAGUGUCUCCCUGUGGUCGGGUGGUUUUAGUAAAUCCGCUCAGUAAUCUGAUGCUAACAGUCAGAGCAGUGUGUUUCUCUUGACCCUGGCUGAGAGUCACUUUGUGUGGUGGCACCACUCCCAGCCCUGAGAUGGGGGCAGCCCGUUCCCGCGUGGAAAAACCAACUUGCUCUUCCACUUCUUGUGGAUGAGUGUACACGCACUUGGGUGUGGGUGGGGUGGGGGCUGCCGAGGCAGGACAGAGGGCACCGUUAUUGGAGCCCAGGCUGAGUGUUUCUCCUUGCUCCAUGCACACAGACGUUUUUGAAGUCAGUUUGGAUUUUUGUGGAAACUUCAUUUUUUUAUUUUUCCCUCUUGUUUCUCUGGUAACAUCGAAAACAAACACACACAGAUGUGUCACCUGGCUCCCAGCUACGUUUUUCCAGCAGACACCUACAACUGGAAACUCAGCAGGACUUGGACUCCAGAAUCCAAAUGAACUCUUACUUAACUCCUCCUCCACCAAUUCUCUCUGUGCCUCACCCACCACAGAGCUGGCUGGGCAGACGCCCUCUUCCAGGCACCAAGGAGAAAGGGCUGUGGCUACUCUGUCCACCACCCAGGAACAGGCUUCUCCCCAGACAUUUGCAGGGGAAGAAAUCUCUGCUCCCAUAUCUUCCUGCCCUGCUCGUGAUUUAAAUAUAAGAACGAAGGUGUUUGCAACACUCACUUGCCUUCUCCGAACAACCAGAGCUUCUGACCGUGGAACAGGCUAUUUAUUCCCCAAAGCUGAGGAUUCCUUGUCUCUAGAAACCACAGAAUUUGCUUACUAGGAAAAUAUUGUUCCUUUAUUCCAGUUGUUUCAUUGUAAAAUGAAGCAGCUAAGGAACAAAGAGGAGGCCACACAGAGAAUUAGUGGUAAAGCUAGAGAGAGGAAGCCCGUUCCUGGCUCCAGUCUGCCCUCCACACCAUUCGGCUGGUCCCCACUGAGAGAAGCUGCCGAGUAUCUCGUCUGGAAGGCCUCCCAGGCUCCAGGAACUAGCUUUUUCACCAGUUCUGUUUUUGCUGACUUGUUCCAUUUUUGUUCUAAAUAAGGAAUUUCACAUUUCUACCCAGUUUUGAAUCUCAAAUAUGUACUCUGACAAUAUAGAAACUUUUCUAACACAUAGUAGCAUAUCAGCCAAAUUUCCCCUUUUACUCAUUAAUUCACCAAAUGGUUAUUCAACACCUACUGUGAGCUGGGCCAUGUGUGGUGGGAAUGCAAGGGUAGAUACAACCAAGUCUGUGUCCGCAAGAGCUCCUGGUGUCCCGUAGUGCAGCAGACAGAGGCACGGACAGGUGAUGCCUGCCUUGCAGGCCACAGUGCCAACACGGGUUGGCUUGGAGAUGUCCUUCCCUCUGCAGUGUUUACAGGGUAAGAAUAUCUGCUACUUUGUCUUCUUGGCAAAACAAUUUAAUACUUACUUUAUUGUAUUCCUACCCCAAGGAAACAAAAUAUUAAGCUGAUUAUAAAAACUCCAUGUGUUAAAGUCUUUUGUGCAAUCCUUGCUCCUAGCCGCCCCUUUCGAUGUGUCACGUUUGGCAAUUGUUCACCCUUCUGAGCCUCUGCUGGAUGGGAUAAUUAGCAGAACACUAGCAAAUUAUCUUAUUAUUGUUGGCUAAACAUGCUCUUAUUGGGCACCUGCCGUACAUUCAAUGAGAACAUAUACAAAGAUGAGUACAAUACAAUUUUACAGUACUUUACAGCUUACAGUAAAGUUGGUGAGAGAAUUUUAAGCAAAGUAGAAUUUUGAAAAGCAAUGUCUAACUCUCCCAACCAGGAGCCCUACGAAAAUAUCUGGGCUAGCAAUUCCCCACCCCCUUAAAAAUUUGUCCAGGCCAGAAGCCAAGGGAGAGGCUGGGCUGCCUCCCAGCCUUUGUGUAAAUGAUAAACCAGAAAGGACCAGCUGAGGCUGUCUGAGGCAAUCCUCCUGCGAGUGACCCAGGCCCAGGGCACAGGCCAGAGGGAGGGCGUACCUGGGGCAGUUUGGGAACACAGGCGCUGCCCAGACUCUCUCGUCUCUGCUGAGGAGUGGUGGCAUUUGGUCAUGUCAGCAGCUUAGGAGACCUCACAACUGCUCCUGGACUAGCAGAGUUUCCAUUCCCUUCCAGAACUGUCUGCAGGUCCUGCUGCCAUGGCCCUCUUCACUGGAUGCUGGCUCUUCAACCACAUAUGUAAACUCAGGGUAAAUCUUUCUCCCUUCAUCUGGCUGUGAAGGAAUUCUGACAGAAGCGUACCUCUCGGACAGGGUCCAUCUCAGCUCUAACAUGCCUGAAAGCAGUGAACCGCUUAAACAGAGACUUCCUUCAAAAACACUGAAUAAAGAAAAUCCCUGGACUUAAUAAAAAUUGCUG